This 76-nucleotide transfer RNA is filed under the name Thermotoga sp. RNAcentral's name for it is "tRNA-Lys". It matches the Rfam family "tRNA". Rfam says of the family: Transfer RNA (tRNA) molecules are approximately 80 nucleotides in length. Their secondary structure includes four short double-helical elements and three loops (D, anti-codon, and T loops). RNAcentral also lists the same sequence under 2 other names. Lineage: Bacteria; Thermotogati; Thermotogota; Thermotogae; Thermotogales; Thermotogaceae. The record is from RNAcentral.
GACCCGGUAGCUCAGCAGGUAGAGCACCUGACUUUUAAUCAGGGGGUCGCGGGUUCGAAUCCCGCCCGGGUCACCA